AGUGAACGCUGGCGGCAGGCCUAACACAUGCAAGUCGAACGGCAGCACGGGAGCUGGCACCUGGUAGCGGUGGCCGGACGCGGAAGGAAGACGUAUGCACCGGUCCUGUAGUGGUGGAGAGGCCGAACGAAGGGAGAUUAAUACCGAAUACGAACAACGGCUGAAGGCGAAAGACCGGGAGCCCUCGCGCUGUGGGGAUGGAAGAUGUCGGAUUAGCUAGUUGGAGGGGUAAAGGCCAACCAAGGCGACGAUCAGUAGCUGGUCUGAGAGGAAGAGCAGCCACACUGGAACUGAGACACGGCCCAGACUCCUACGGGAGGCAGCAGUGGGGAAUUUUGGACAAUGGGCGCAAGCCUGAUCCAGCCAUGCCGCGUGUGUGAAGAAGGCCUUCGGGUUGUAAAGCCCUUUUGUCGGGAAAGAAAUCCUUCACGUUAAUACGGUCGGGGGCUGACGGUACCGGAAGAAUAAGCACCGGCUAACUACGUG
This 486-nucleotide ribosomal RNA is filed under the name uncultured bacterium. Its description in RNAcentral is "partial 16S ribosomal RNA". It matches the Rfam family "Bacterial small subunit ribosomal RNA", at positions 30 to 507 of the family's 1533-position model. The record is from RNAcentral.